UGUGUCUUGGAGUACACAUACUGCUAAAAUUGGAUCCAUACAGAGAGGAUUAGCAUGACCCCUGCACAAGGAUGAGAUGAAAAUUCGUGGAUUGUUCCAUAUUUUU
Molecule: small nuclear RNA, 106 nt
Organism: Camelus dromedarius (Arabian camel)
Lineage: Eukaryota; Metazoa; Chordata; Mammalia; Artiodactyla; Camelidae
Source: Ensembl